Molecule: ribosomal RNA, 728 nt
Filed under: Palicella glaucopa
Lineage: Eukaryota; Fungi; Ascomycota; Lecanoromycetes; Lecanorales; Lecanoraceae
Description: LSU rRNA
Rfam family: Eukaryotic large subunit ribosomal RNA
Source: RNAcentral
UGCCUCAGUAACGGCGAGUGAAGCGGCAACAGCUCAAAUUUGAAAUCUGGCCCCUUCGGGGUCCGAGUUGUAAUUUGUAGAGGAUGUUUCGGGUGCGGCGCCGAUCUAAGUCCCUUGGAACAGGGCGUCACAGAGGGUGAGAAUCCCGUACGUGAUUGGCGACCAAUCCCAUGUGAAACCCCUUCGACGAGUCGAGUUGUUUGGGAAUGCAGCUCAAAAUGGGUGGUAAAUUUCAUCUAAAGCUAAAUACCGGCCAGAGACCGAUAGCGCACAAGUAGAGUGAUCGAAAGAUGAAAAGCACUUUGGAAAGAGAGUCAAAAAGUACGUGAAAUUGUUGAAAGGGAAGCGCUUGCGACCAGACCUGUCCGCGGGCGAUCAACCUCCGUUCUCGGGGGUGCACUUGUUCGCGAUCAGGCCAGCAUCGGUUUGGGCGGCGGGAUAAAGGCCUUGGGAACGUAGCUUCCUUCGGGAAGUGUUAUAGCCCUCGGUGCAAUGCCGCCAGCCCGGACCGAGGACCGCGCUUCGGCUAGGAUGCUGGCGUAAUGGUCGUAAGCGACCCGUCUUGAAACACGGACCAAGGAGUCUAACAUCUAUGCGAGUGUUUGGGUGUCAAAUCCAUACGCGUAAUGAAAGUGAACGGAGGUGAGAACCCUUAAGGGCGCAUCAUCGACCGAUCCAGAUGUCUUCGGAUGGAUUUGAGUACGAGCAUAGCUGUUGGGACCCGAAAA